UUGAGAUAUCUGUCAACCAGCAAACUACAUAGACAGGCACACAAAGAGGCUCUUUCCCAUCAUCCCACAAGGACAUGUUGAAAUUAUGCAUUGUACUGACUUGAUCCCAAGAACAUCUUUACUUUUGGAAUAGCAGAAUAGAAAGUUUCUUACAUUUCAAUUUCUCUAUAGAAGAAGACGCUAUUUUCUCUUCUUUGAAACUAUUGGUUAGAAAAAAAAAAGAGAAACAACCCUCCCGCAACAACAAUACAAAUAUUAUCCAAUACUUUUACACAAUAAAAUCCAUUACAUUUAAAGAAGAAAGCAACACAGACCUCUAUAGCUAGCCAGUUGUCCCCUGAAGAAAUCCUCAGCCUGUGAAUCAUAAAGCAAACGACAGGUCUCCCACAUCCCACCUAUUUCCAAACAUUUCGCUUUCCAAUCACAUCAGCCAAUUUCAUUCUUUAAUGGAUUCACUCACAAUUGGUAGUUCUUCCUCCUAGACCAAAGGUUGUUUUCCAACUUCUUAAGAGACUCUGAAACUCAUCAAAAACAAUUCUCACCUGAAAACCGAUGAAGAUCCAAUAGUACGUUGUCCAAUUCUUCGUACUGCAUAUGGCGACUCUUGAGAUAUCUGUCAAGCAGCAAACUACAUAGACAGGCACACAAAGAGGCUCUUUCCCAUCAUCCCACAA
Pelobates cultripes (western spadefoot toad) is the source of this 674-nucleotide non-coding RNA. Lineage: Eukaryota; Metazoa; Chordata; Amphibia; Anura; Pelobatidae. The record is from the annotation of a GenBank genome assembly.